GCACUUCAUAAAUCUAUGCGCGACUUCCGCUCGGUCUCUCAGUCUACCAGAACCAUGGCGCGUGGACCGGUGCAGAAAUGCUUGUCAGCUAAGAGCUGCAGUGUCUCCUGAUGAGUAAGUGCUGUGUCACGUAGUGGACACUAUGGGAUAGAGCUACCAACGGGAGUCCUGCCUUGCCUUUGGGACUAAUGGCAGAGCCUCUUGCAGCUGCUCAGCGUGGGGCUGACUGUCAUGCUGCAGGCUGACUGAGGGAGCAUGUGGAGCAGCUGGCCUGCAGGGAGAGCAAACUUCUGGAAAAAAAGAAGUGAGACUGAACCAGUGUGGUCGGUGUAAUCUGCCGGGCUGGUCUGGAUAAGUGGAUAUGUUCCUGUCUCAGUCCGCCUGCUGGGAUGUGACUGGGCUGCGGACAGCCAUCAGUACACCCCUACGGUGUAACCAUGUCUGCAAAACUUGGUUUAGGCUGGAAACAAGUUUAUAAAUUAUGAAGGCAUCACCUACAUUAAACAUCUACAGAAAAUAAGUUGACCAGUUUUUCUAGAAUAUAAAAUCUGUGGUCUGAACUAAGUACAUCUGAAAUCAUGUGCAUAUGUUUGAAUAAAGUUUAAUUGUGCAUUA
Long non-coding RNA from Epinephelus moara (kelp grouper), 615 nucleotides. RefSeq lists it as uncharacterized. The transcript is spliced from 5 exons. NCBI's taxonomy places the organism in Eukaryota, Metazoa, Chordata, Actinopteri, Perciformes, Serranidae. The record is from RefSeq and is a predicted model, not a curated record.